This 85-nucleotide transfer RNA is filed under the name Felis catus (domestic cat). It matches the Rfam family "tRNA". Rfam says of the family: Transfer RNA (tRNA) molecules are approximately 80 nucleotides in length. Their secondary structure includes four short double-helical elements and three loops (D, anti-codon, and T loops). The record is from Rfam by way of RNAcentral. Lineage: Eukaryota; Metazoa; Chordata; Mammalia; Carnivora; Felidae.
GCCUGGGUGGCUCAGUCGGUUGAGCAUCUGACUUAGGCUCAGGUCAUGAUCUCACAGUUCGUGAGUUCGAGCCCCGCAUUGGGCU